Frieseomelitta varia is the source of this 164-nucleotide long non-coding RNA. RefSeq lists it as uncharacterized. The record is from RefSeq and is a predicted model, not a curated record. The transcript has 3 exons. Lineage: Eukaryota; Metazoa; Arthropoda; Insecta; Hymenoptera; Apidae.
AGAUUAUCAGCGUCGCUCCGCUCGUUGUCUCCGAUUGUUAAGUAAAAUCGAAAGAUCGAAAAGCCGGUCCUCCUGCGUGCCGUAUCGUAUCCACUGACGCUGAUCGAUGAGAAGUUCCAACAUUUUCCUCGAUCGUGAUCGGUUCGCUUUUACGAAUCAGAUCG